GGUGCAUGGUUGUCGUCAGCUCGUGUCGUGAGAUGUGGGUUAAGUCCCGCAACGAGCGCAACCCUCGACCUUAGUUGCCAGCAUUCAGUUGGGCACUCUAAGGUGACUGCCGGCUAAAAGUCGGAGGAAGGUGGGGAUGACGUCAAAUCAUCAUGCCCCUUAUGACCUGGGCUACACACGUGCUACAAUGGGCGGUACAAAGGGUCGCGAACCCGCGAGGGGGAGCCAAUCCCAAAAAGCCGCUCUCAGUUCGGAUUGCAGGCUGCAACUCGCCUGCAUGAAGCCGGAAUCGCUAGUAAUCGCGGAUCAGCAUGCCGCGGUGAAUACGUUCCCGGGCCUU
This 340-nucleotide ribosomal RNA is filed under the name uncultured Anoxybacillus sp. RNAcentral describes it as "bacterial SSU rRNA". It matches the Rfam family "Bacterial small subunit ribosomal RNA", at positions 1040 to 1382 of the family's 1533-position model. The record is from RNAcentral. Lineage: Bacteria; Bacillati; Bacillota; Bacilli; Caryophanales; Anoxybacillaceae.